This 487-nucleotide long non-coding RNA is filed under the name Manacus vitellinus (golden-collared manakin). RNAcentral describes it as "lncRNA (ENSMVIG00005015940.1)". Lineage: Eukaryota; Metazoa; Chordata; Aves; Passeriformes; Pipridae. The record is from RNAcentral.
CCCAAACGUGUGUAUGCACAUAACGAAGGUGCAAUUGUAAUUGUGCGGCUCUCCGGCCUGCCUGGCACGGCCCUUGCUUCCAACAGGAAAGCUGUUUAAAGUCCGUGAGAAAAUAUCUCCAUCCACCUUACACAUACUGUGUAUGCAUACAUUACUAUAAACACAAAUGGGCACAUAAAAACUAUAAAAUCACGCUAAGAAAGAACUAAAAAAUUGCUCUUUGGCCCCAAAUCUGUCAUUCAGGACAAUUGAAAUUUCUCCUUAAGCUGAAGGAAGCAUCAGCUGAGCAAAGUUACCAUGACAGAGAUCAAGCAAAAUGCUAUUAGGUAAAUACCCAACACAGUGAAGGUCUUUAUUGAUUUUUCAGCAAAAUGAAGUUACUGUACUUAUUUUAAAGAUCAAUUUUAUCACCUGAGCUUAGGUAUGUUGGACUUCAAACAAAGAAAGAGGGCAAUCCUUUAUAAACCCCUCUGUGACCCUAAACAGC